CACGUAGGGUGCGAGCGUUGUCCGGAAUUAUUGGGCGUAAAGAGCUCGUAGGCGGUGUGUCGCGUCGGCCGUGAAAACCUGCAGCUUAACUGUGGGCUUGCGGUCGAUACGGGCAUCACUGGAGUUCGGCAGGGGAGACUGGAAUUCCUGGUGUAGCGGUGAAAUGCGCAGAUAUCAGGAGGAACACCGGUGGCGAAGGCGGGUCUCUGGGCCGAUACUGACGCUGAGGAGCGAAAGCCGUGGGGAGCGAACAGG
This 255-nucleotide ribosomal RNA is filed under the name uncultured bacterium. RNAcentral describes it as "partial 16S ribosomal RNA". It matches the Rfam family "Bacterial small subunit ribosomal RNA", at positions 524 to 776 of the family's 1533-position model. The record is from RNAcentral.